Molecule: ribosomal RNA, 905 nt
Filed under: uncultured bacterium
Lineage: Bacteria
Description: bacterial SSU rRNA
Rfam family: Bacterial small subunit ribosomal RNA
Source: RNAcentral
AACGAACGCUGGCGGCGUGGCUAAGACAUGCAAGUCGAACGGACCAUACAAUUGAGUAAUCGAGCGUAUGGUUAGUGGCGAAAGGGUUAGUAAUGGAUAGGUAACGUACCCCGAUCUUUGGGAUAGCGUCUGAGUGCUUGCACUCUUCCGAAAGGGGCGGUAAUACCAAAUAAUAUCAUGAUUCGAUAGUGUUAUGAUCAAAGAUUCAUCGGAUUGGGAGCGGCCUAUCUCCUAUCAGCUUGUUGGUGAGGUAAGAGCUCACCAAGGCUAAGACGGGUAGCGGGACUGAGAGGUUGGCCCGCAACAUCGGGACUGAGACACUGCCCGGACCUCCACGGAGGGCUGCAGUAACGAAUAUUGCGCAAUGGGCGAAAGCCUGACGCAGCGACGCCGCGUGUAGGAGGAAGUCCCUCGGGAUGUAAACUACUGUCAGGGGGAAGAAAGUGUACUUCGGUACAUUGAUCUACCCCAGAGGAAGUCACGGCUAACUUCGUGCCAGCAGCCGCGGUAAGACGAAGGUGGCUAGCGUUGUUCGGUGUCACUGGGCUUAAAGCGUGUGUAGGCGGAAAUGUAAGCGUCUUGUGAAAUCCCUCGGCUUAACCGAGGAAUUGCUGGGCGAACUAUGUUUCUUGAGGCAAGUAGGGGUGCAUGGAACUCUUGGUGGAGCGGUGGAAUGCGUAGAUAUCAAGAGGAACGCCAAUGGAGAAAUCAGUGCACUGGGCUUGUCCUGACGCUGAGACACGAAAGCGUGGGGAGCGAACGGGAUUAGAUACCCCGGUAGUCCACGCUGUAAACGAUGUCUGCUAGGUUGUGGUCGUUCUGACACGGUCACGGCCGAAGCAAAAGUGUUAAGUAGACCGCCUGGGGAGUACGGUCGCAAGGCUAAAACUCAAAGGAAUUGACGG